RNAcentral lists this unclassified non-coding RNA (4125 nucleotides) under Hevea brasiliensis (rubber tree). Lineage: Eukaryota; Viridiplantae; Streptophyta; Magnoliopsida; Malpighiales; Euphorbiaceae. The record is from RNAcentral.
ACCCCAUUAACCCACUAAACCUUAACCCACGGCUGUGAACUUCCCUCUCUCUUCUUCUGGUUUUUCUCUACAACGGAUUUGGAUUGCUAACGAUUCUUUCUUUUUAGCCAAAGCUUUGUUCUUCAACAAUCUCUCUCCAUCUCUAGCUUUCUUCAGCUCUUUUCGUUGCACCAUUUUUUCGUCCACUCUAAAAAGCUUCUUUCUUUGAAGCUUUAUAUCUCAAAGAACAGUAUUUUCAUUGUUUGCUCUGCUGGAGCAAGACCUCCUCUUCAUCAAUGGGUGCGUCAGGAAAAUGGGUAAAAUCUCUUAUAGGUCUCAAAAAGUCCUCCGAUAAAGAAGAUCUUGGGAAGAUGGGUGGUAAGAGCAAGAAAUGGAAGCUGUGGAGAAGCAGUUCUGGUGAAUUGGGUUCUUCAUGGAAGGGUUUCAAAGGGAGCCAUAAAGCAGCAUCUGAAUGUUCAGGAUCUUCACCAAUGACUGAUGCUUUUAGUGCAGCAAUGGCUACUGUUGUUCGAGCUCCUCCUAAGGAUUUCAGGGUUGUGAGGCAAGAAUGGGCGGCGAUCCGGAUUCAAACUGCUUUUCGUGGAUUCUUGGUAAAUGGGUUUCUUUUUGUUCUCUGAUCAUCUCUGUGUAGAAAGUUGAAUAUUUUGAUUUGGAACAUAGAACUUGCUAUUUUGGUCAAAAUACACCUCUCUUCUCUCUUUGGGAAUUAGUUAGAUAUACACAGAAGUCAUGUAUAAAUAAUUAAACAGUUGAUUUGAACUUCUAAAACUCAUUGUUAAUGCACAGAGCUUUUAUGUUGGUCUAGAAUAGUUGUCUUUAUGCCACCGAAAAUGGUCUUGGUAUGGCAUAGUAUUUGGUGAACAUUUUGUAAUGAAUUGUAGGCGAGGAGGGCUUUGAGGGCCUUGAAAGGAGUGGUAAGGCUUCAAGCUUUAGUUCGGGGUCGACAAGUGAGGAAGCAGGCUGCAGUGACACUUAGGUGCAUGCAAGCUCUUGUUCGAGUUCAGGCUCGAGUCAGGGCUCGUCGGGUGCGGAUGUCCAUAGAAGGGCAGGCUGUGCAGCAAAUACUAAAUGAACGGAGAAGCAAGUCCGACAGGUUGAAACAGGCUGAGGAAGGGUGGUGUGAUAGCAAGGGGACAUUGGAAGAUGUUAAGGCAAAGCUACAAAUGAGGCAUGAAGGAGCCUUCAAGAGAGAGAGAGCAAUUGCAUACUCUCUUGCUCAGAAGGUAUUCAAAUAUUACCAUUCUAUCUGAAUUAUGGUCCAUAAUUGCUCAUUUCAUACAUGCGAAGUGCUUUACCAAAUCUUUUGUUUUCUCAGCAAUGGAGAUCCAACCCCAGUUCAAAUAUUCGAAUUAAUGGCUCGUUAUCGACUUUCAAGAAUCAUGAGUUUGAUAAGAAUAGCUGGGGAUGGAGUUGGCUAGAACGUUGGAUGGCAGCCAAGCCAUGGGAGACUAGAUUGAUGGAACAAUCCCAAACUGACCCUUCUGAGACAACUCCACCAUCGAAGUCCUGUGUAGACUCCUUCGUGAGCAAAAAUACAAAAUCUUCUGAACAAAGCUUAGUUAAAGUCAGAAAGAACAAUGUUACCACUAGGAUAUCUGCAAAACCUCUAAAUGGGCACGUUACUCGCUCAUCAUCAAGCCCAAGUUCUGAAUUUCACUAUGACGAGAGCUCAGCUUCAUUUUCAUUUUGCACGUCUGCAACACCAGCUUCAGGAAACACUUGCCUGGCCUCGGAUGGAAUAGAGGAGAGUGGUUAUAGUAGGCCAAGCUAUAUGAACCUCACUGAGUCAACCAAGGCGAAGCGGAAAUCAUCUAAUCAUUUGUCUAACAGAAUUCAAAGGCAAUCCAUGGAUGAGUUUCAGUUUCUGAAAAGGUCAGAAGCAUUCUCAAAUGCUGAUUCAAAAAGCAGUGCUGGUUCUGAUCCUUCUUCAGUUAAUUUACCUAAGCCCCUUUGCAUGCCAACUAGAUUGGAUAAGAACUCAAUGAAACAAUUCAGAGGAACGGACCUGUAUGAUUAGAUAGAUCGGAUUAUGUUUCAGGCAGUUCAACGGCUUGUUGUUCUUUAAUGCUGAGAAUGUGUAUUAAUUAAGAGCAUCUGUGCAAUUAGUUAGCUGUAGCCAAAACAGAUCCUUGAGUUUGCGUUUUGAGGCUUAUCCAUUUUGCAAAAUAUUUAUGGCCUUGUCUUUUAUUACAUUUCCUACUUUGAAAAAGAAGAUAAUAGGAUUUUGGCGGAGCCAGGAAUUAAUCUAGAAAAAGACACCCACUACCUUCAAAUAAUUUGGAAAAGACUAUAGAUGUAGCUAAGCCAUUCUCUUACCACUAUAUGAAGGCCUUAGUUUAUGCUAAUCUGGAACAUUAGUGCAUGGGGGAUGACUUAGAACAGACUACAACUGCAUAAAACAUUCUUCACCUUCGUUUUAUGACUCUAAGCUUUACACCAUGCUUGAAAUUGAGAACUAUGCCAUAUUCAAGUUCAAGAGGUUUUUCCAUGUUGGGAGAAUGUCGGAAUAUAAAUUUGCGGUAUAGGUGUAUCAGUGAUAGCUUUAAUUCUUGUAGGGAAAAUUUCUGGCCAAUGCAAGCUCGGGGCCCUAUUCCAAAGGGUAUCAGAGCAUAAGGGUGCCUUUGUUUCUCUUCUUCACAAUUAGGAUCAAACCUCUCAGGCUUGAACUUGUCUGGCUCUGGGAAGUUCUUUGGGUCUUUUGCUAGAACUCCAAGAGCUAACCAAACCCAUGUUCCCUUUGGGAGAAGGUAACCUCCUAUCUCUACAUCUUUUGAUGUCUCUCUGGCAACUAAUGGGGAAACUACAUAGAACCUCAUAGACUCUUUAAUCACCUGGUCAAGGUAGGGAAACUUGGUUUGAAGAUCAUGAGCAGUUGGCAUCUGAUCAGGUGGACCAAACCCAUCAAUUUCUGCAAGCAACUUCUUCUCAACUUCUGGAUGUCCAGAAACUAAAUAAACAAUUGAAGAUAAUGUGAAUGCUGUUGUUGCUGACCCAGCAAGAAGGUGCUCGUAUGUAACUGCACUAAUAUAAUCUGGAGUGAAAACAUUUCUUGACAGAGUCUCUGACUCCCUCGCACUUAAUAUGAGAGACAAGAAGUCCUUUGAACCACGAUUUUUGUCAUUCAUUCUCUUCAUUACGAUCUCAUCUAGCCGACCACUUAAAUUCUUAUUAGUCCUGUCAACUUUCCAAUCCAUAGUGCCAGGAAUUCGCUUAAGAAUCUGCCUGAAAGGCUCUUGCAGUAUAGGAAUAAGAAGACCAAUUAUAAUUGAAAAGGAACCGGACAAGUCCAUCUUAAGUUGUGUUGUUGAGUAGACAUGUUGAUUGAUAAAGUCUGAGACUUCAUUCCCGUUCUCUUGGUUCUGAGAAAUGCUGUUUGAAUCACUGUUUGACUGUGGCUUAGAAAGGCCGAAGUCAACUCCAAAUGCAGCUUGUCCUAUAAUAUCUGUGGCCAGUUUGAGCGAUAGAUUAGAGAAAGUGCGGUCUUCUUCCUCUUCAGAGGAUUGGAAAUUCUCAGUUGCAGACUCAAUGAAUGAUUGCAUGGUGGGCAAUAGGCUGGCUAAAUGUGAUGGCUGGUAGACUGAUAAUAUUGUGUUUCUCAUGGUUGACCAUCUUGCAUCCCUGGUGAAGAAGAGGCCUUUUUGGUGAAGAGGAGAAGCUGAGAUGGGAGAGGGAAUGCUCCUGUUUGGAAUAUCUUUGAAUUUCUUUAUUCCAACUUCUUUACAAAGCUCUGCAUCCGCUACAAUUAUCAGCGGUUGUCGUCCCAUAUGAAACCUGAAAAUGGGACCAUACUGCUUGGCAAGAACAGAGAAUACGUCAGGGCCGUACUUAGCGAGCAAAGGAAGGUGUCCUAAGAGAGGGAUUGCUGGAGGGCCUGGCACCUUCCUAACACCCCAGUAGGGCCUGUACAAGUAACCCAAGACUAUGGCCAAAGCCGUGAAAAUAAUUGUAAGCAUAGGAACACUAUUGAAGAACGCAUCAGCGAUACCCAGAACCAUGAUCAAUCUUUGAAGGGUAUGAAUCACUAAGUUGGUGGUUCUGUUCCAGAGAAGAAUAAGAAGAAGAGCUAAAUAGAGAAGGAUAAGUGGCCGUCUCCAUGAAGCAUCUUUUUGGGCAUUUGGUCUUGUC